GAUGAAGAACGCAGUGAAAUGCGAUAAGUAGUGUGAAUUGCAGAAUUCAGUGAAUCAUCGAAUCUUUGAACGCACAUUGCGCCCUUUGGUAUUCCUUAGGGCAUGCCUGUUCGAGCGUCAUCUAAACCUUCAAGCUAAGCUUGGUGUUGGGUGACUGUCCGCUUCACGGCGGACUCGCCUCAAAAUUAUUGGCGGCCGGUACAUUGGCUUCGAGCGCAGCAGAAACGCGAACUCGGGCCCGUCGUAUUGGCUCCCAGAAGCUAUCUUCACAAUUUUGACCUCGGAUCAGGUAGGGAUACCCGCUGAACUUAAGCAUAUCAAUAAGCGGAGGA
This 332-nucleotide unclassified non-coding RNA is filed under the name soil metagenome. RNAcentral's name for it is "partial contains 5.8S ribosomal RNA, internal transcribed spacer 2, and large subunit ribosomal RNA". The stretch from base 1 to 120 matches the Rfam family "5.8S ribosomal RNA", at positions 35 to 154 of the family's 154-position model. The record is from RNAcentral.